GUGAGGACCGGUAUCGGACCUGAGAAGAGCUUAUGCAGGCAUGAGUAGCGAUAAACCAGAUGAGAAAUCUGGUCGCCGUAAGCCCAAGGUUUCCUGGGGAAGGAUAAUCCUCCCAUGGCUUAGUCGGUACCUAAGCCGAGGCCGGAAGGCGUAGGUGAUGGAAGACAGGUUAAUAUUCCUGUACUACCGAGGAUGGCGUUGAAGUGAGCGGGGACGGAGAAGGGUAGCCCAACACGGCGCAUGGUCGUCCGUGUUCAAGCCCGUAGGAUGGACUGCUAGGACCCGAUAGGGACAAACGGCAGCUUAAAGCCGAGAGGUGAUGAGGUCAGCUCCUAGAGCUGGACACUGGGUAAUCCCAUGCUUCCAAGAAAAGCCGCGUGCAGAGCCUCUUUGGUGAUCGUACUGCAAACCGACUCAGGUGGGCGGGAAGAAUAUUCCAAGGCGCGUGAGAGAACCCCGGUUAAGGAACUCGGCAAAUUGACACCGUAACUUCGGGAUAAGGUGUGCCUCCAAGGUGAACCCGUACAGGGGGAGCCGAAUGGGGUCGCAGAGAAUCGGUGGCUGCGACUGUUUAAUAAAAACACAGCACUCUGCAAAGACGAAAGUCGACGUAUAGGGUGUGACGCCUGCCCGGUGCUGGAAGAUUAAAUGAUGGGGUGCAAGCUCUUGAUUGAAGUCCCAGUAAACGGCGGCCGUAACUAUAACGGUCCUAAGGUAGCGAAAUUCCUUGUCGGGUAAGUUCCGACCUGCACGAAUGGCGUAACGACUUGGGCGCUGUCUCGACCACAGACUCGGCGAAAUUGCAUUACGAGUAAAGAUGCUCGUUACGCGCAGAAGGACGGAAAGACCCCGAGACCUUUACUAUAGUUUGGUAUUGGUGUUCGGUGUGGCUUGUGUAGGAUAGGUGGGAGACUGUGAAGCCGGCACGCCAGUGCUGGUGGAGUCAUCGUUGAAAUACCACUCUGGUCACUCUGGACAUCUAACUUCGGCCCGUGAUCCGGGUCAGGGACAGUGCCUGAUGGGUAGUUUAACUGGGGCGGUUGCCUCCCAAAAUGUAACGGAGGCGCCCAAAGGUCCCCUCAGCCUGGUUGGCAAUCAGGUGUCGAGUGCAAGUGCACAAGGGGGCUUGACUGUGAGAGAGACAUCUCGAGCAGGGACGAAAGUCGGGACUAGUGAUCCGGCACUGGCUUGUGGAAGCGGUGUCGCUCAACGGAUAAAAGGUACCUCGGGGAUAACAGGCUGAUCUUGCCCAAGAGUCCAUAUCGACGGCAUGGUUUGGCACCUCGAUGUCGGCUCGUCGCAUCCUGGGGCUGGAGUAGGUCCCAAGGGUUGGGCUGUUCGCCCAUUAAAGCGGUACGCGAGCUGGGUUCAGAACGUCGUGAGACAGUUCGGUCCCUAUCCGCUGCGCGCGUUGGAAAUUUGAGAAGGUCUGUCCUUAGUACGAGAGGACCGGGACGGACGAACCUCUGGUGUGCCAGUUGUACCGCCAGGUGCAUGGCUGAUUAGCUACGUUCGGGAUGGAUAACCGCUGAAAGCAUCUAAGCGGGAAGCCCCCCCCAAGAUUAGAUCUCCCUGGGAACUUGAUUCCCCUGAAGGGCCGUCGAAGACUACGACGUUGAUAGGUUGGGUGUGGAAGCACAGCGAUGUGUGUAGCUAACCGCCGACCAAUACACCCCACAUCAAACC
This 1686-nucleotide ribosomal RNA is filed under the name Selaginella bryopteris. RNAcentral describes it as "bacterial LSU rRNA". It matches the Rfam family "Bacterial large subunit ribosomal RNA", at positions 1263 to 2925 of the family's 2925-position model. The record is from RNAcentral. Lineage: Eukaryota; Viridiplantae; Streptophyta; Lycopodiopsida; Selaginellales; Selaginellaceae.